CCAAAGUACCUCUGCACCUACUAUGACAUUGUUGACUACCUGAACAUCUCCUCUCAUGACAAGCUGUACACGUACAUCCUGCCCAAGAUAAACCCGAAGGAGCCUGUGGAAGUGAAGGUGGAUUUCUUUCUGGUGUCAAUUCUCUCUGUGGUGGAAAAGCUGCAGACAGUCAGUUUUUACUUCGUCCUGAACCUGGAAUGGCAGAACCCUUUUGCAACCUGGGACCCCUGGGAUUUCUGUAACAUCUCUGAAAUUGUUCUGCCCUUGGACACGUAUUGGUCGCCCCCCAUCUUCAUCUUGGAGCGAGUGAACGGGCAGGACCCAG
RNAcentral lists this long non-coding RNA (325 nucleotides) under Zonotrichia albicollis (white-throated sparrow). RNAcentral describes it as "lncRNA (ENSZALG00000014240.1)". The record is from RNAcentral. Lineage: Eukaryota; Metazoa; Chordata; Aves; Passeriformes; Passerellidae.